UCGGAGAAACGAUCGUAGAGUCGGCCAUUUUCGCUGGUCGUGGGAGCAGCGAGAGCUAGCCUUCCCGUGUCCGGCGCGGUCUUCUCUCGCGUGUGUGUGUUACGCUGAGCUGUCGUCCGUCCCACAGCUGAGCCGUUAAAACCGCGGGCGCGAAUAAUACCGAGAAAUAAAGGGGGAACAAAUAUCAGAUCCAGGAGAAAAAAGAACGAACCGUAGUGAGAAUAAAGGUGGAAAGUUAGUGGUGUUGAUCGUAGGUGUAUCUCAUGGGGUCCGCCUUAUCAGUAUUUGCGAUAAUCCGCCGAAAGAGUAGCACAUAACCGUCAGAUAUAGAAAAAAAGUACAGCCGGUUCUUAGUCACAAAAUUCUGCGAAAGAAGAAAGAAUCACAGAACGAGAGAGAGAGAGAGAGAGAGAGAGAGAGAGAGAGGGCGAACGAAGGAAAAAUAGAGUAGUGAGGGGAGAGAAGACGGUGAAGACAUCACCCGGUAAGGGCUUAAAAAAGGGGCGAGACACAGAGUAUUAACGAAGGGCACCAAAAGGUGUAAAGCCUCGACAUAUCUUCGAAAACACAAGAGGAAGGUAAAAACAUCGUUUUUCGUGUGGCAUGAGUGACAAGAAAUCGAGUUUAAUUUCAAAAGUGUUGAGUUGAAAAAAACAAAUCAAACGUGUAAAACAAACCACAUAUUUAUUCGGUGAUUCGGGCGAGGCGAGUGUGAGUCGUUGAGUUUAUUGAACGACAUUGACGCGGGGUCCCGUUCAUUCGAACGUCAUCCGAGGUUCCGCGAGAGUGUACAUUUCGCCGUUUUUAUCUCUUUUUACCGUGCGUAUCCCUCAUGACUUUCGGGCACAGUGAUUUGGUGGAGCGAGAGAGAAGAGCGUGCGCGUAGUGAUUUCAGUUAAUCGUUUUUUCCACGAUAUCAAGUCGGAUUCAUCUGAGUGAAGACGAAACAAGAAAGAUAGAAAGAUAGACACACAGGCAGGCCGGUCGAUCGGUGCGUUGGAGAGUUCUUAACCGUGAGAACCCUCCGUUUUAUCAAAGGAGCGCUCGGCAGAAAGAGAGAGGAAGAGAGAGAGAGAGAGAGAGAGAGAAAGGAAGAGUAUAGAGCGUCGAGGAAGAACAUCGAGGGUAGCGCGGGUGGGUGGGGGCGAAAAACACUGUGCUCUGUGACAGGAAGGUGCGGAUAGGAGCGAGCCGGCUCCGAUAUUGUAAAAAGGAGAGAAAAAAACAUAUACACACACAAGUACGAUGGCGGGACAAACUAUAAACGACAGGCUGUUGGCCGCGAGACACAGUAUUGCGGGCCAGGGCCUUGCAAAGUCCGUAUGCAAAGCGACCACCGAGGAGAUGAUCGGACCAAAGAAAAAACAUCUUGAUUAUUUAAUACAUUGCACGAACGAGCCCAACGUUUCGAUACCACAACUGGCAAAUCUCCUGAUCGAGAGAUCCCAAAACACAAAUUGGACAGUCGUCUUUAAGGCUCUAAUAACCGUACAUCACAUGCUCUGCUAUGGAAACGAGAGGUUUACUCAGUACCUUGCGUCGAGCAACAGCACGUUCCAGCUCAGUAAUUUCCUGGACAAAAGUGGUGUGCAAGCCGGAGCUCGGGUGGGGUACGAUAUGUCGCCGUUCAUCAGGCGAUACGCCAAAUAUCUUAACGAGAAAGCAAUGUCGUACAGAAGUGUGGCCUUCGAUUUCUGCAAAGUCAAACGAGGGAAGGAAGAUGGCACGCUGCGCACAAUGAACGUUGAAAAACUUCUGAAGACCUUGCCGGUGCUCCAGGCACAGUUGGACUCACUCCUUGAAUUCGAUUGCACGGCCAAUGAUCUCACCAAUGGCGUUAUCAGUAUGGCUUUCAUGCUUCUCUUCCGAGAUCUUAUAAGGCUCUUUGCUUGCUACAACGAUGGUAUCAUUAAUCUAUUAGAAAAGUACUUCGACAUGAAUAAAAAGCAAUGCAGAGACGCUUUGGAUCUGUACAAAAAGUUUCUAAUACGAAUGGAUCGGGUCGGAGAAUUCCUCAAAGUUGCUGAGAGUGUGGAUAUCGACAAAGGCGAUAUUCCUGACCUCACCAAGGCUCCGAGCAGUUUGUUGGACGCAUUGGAACAGCACUUGGCAUCCCUCGAAGGAAAGAAAGGUUCGGCGGCCAACACCCCGACUCAAUCAGCCAGCAAUAGAACGAAUGUAAAGUCGGGAGUGUCCGCCCUGUCUUCCACCAGUACGGCCUUUGGAACCGCCGCCAGCAACGCCCGACUCGAUCACACCGGUAAUGGACACAUCGACGAGGCUCUCAGACAACAGGCUCUCGCCGAGGAGGAGGCUGCUAUGAAUCAGUACAAGGCCAAGGUACAAUCACCAUCGGGUGGACCGAGCACGAAUCCGUUCCUGAGUUCACCAACCGGAAGCGGAAAUCAGCCGAUCGUCGAUCUCUUCGGUUCAGCGCCGACCACAGAUUCUCAGUCUCAGAAAGCGUCGGAUGACCUUCUCCAGCUUGCAGGAAAUCCGUUUGCCGACAUGUUCGGAGCGCCACAACCGGCAGCUCCUCAACAACCGCAGCCACAAAACAAUAUGUGGAUGACCAACGGUAAUGGUUUCGCGGUUGGGCCAGCGGCAAGUAAUAACUUUGUUACAGAUAACAAUUUCUCAUCGGUGUUCGGAGGUCAAGAACAAGGGACGGCUGCCGGCCCAGGAUCGGUUGGAUCCGUGCCCAAUCCCUUCAUGAACGAUUUUCCACCUCCCAACACGAGCAAUCCUCAACCUUCCGGUAACAACGCGACGAUCGGUAUGUUCGGUAACGAGUCCCGUAACGCCGGGGGAGAUCCCUUCAGUGGGGUCGGACAGGCGGAUAUGUUUGGGGGCGACUCUGCAAUGGCGAAGACUUCGGAUAUCGUUGAGGCCGUUGGUGCUGACUUUGUUAACGCUGGUAAUAACGUCGUCCAGAAUAAUAACGGGCAGCAAUCAUCAUCAGCGGGUUCAAUGUCGCAUGCGACCUCACUGGGUACUGCAAAGUCCAAUGCAACGCCGCCGCCCAGACCGCCCCCACCCGGAACAAUCGGUGCUGUUAAUGACAAUUCAACGCCGAGGCCAAUGUCACCCGCGAUUGGAGCUCCUUCCAACUCCGCUGGUAGACAAAACUUUGCGAAUCCCAAUAAGAGCGCCUUCGACGAUCUCAAUGACAGCAUUCGUAUGGCACUGGGUGGGUCUCCUUCGCGUCCGGCACCCGGCGCUCCAUCCCAAGCCACUCAACUCUCGCAACAGCAGCAAUCCAUCCCCAAUCAACAACCGCAGCAACGACAAAUUCCUGGCGGAUGGAUCGCCGAUAACGACAUUGCUCCUGUUGCUAAUGUCGGUGGCUUGGCUAUGACGGCUCCUGCUUCUGGACAAACGGUUAUGGGACCCGUUACCAAUACCGGAUAUCCCCAAAUCCCUAACCAAACUUCCCAGCUACCCGUGGGAUACGGCUCUCCGGCAAAACAACCAAUGUCAGCAGCGGGUCAACCGGCGACAACAACCACCGCCGGAAGCAAAGUACUGACUGGCGAUUUGGACAGCAGCCUGGCAAGCCUCGCUCAAAAUCUCACCAUCAACAAAAGCGCCCAACCCCAAGUCAAGACUAUGCAGUGGAACUCGCCGAAGAAUACAGCAAAGACGGGUGGCCCAGCUGGAUGGACGCCUCAGCCAAUGGCAGCUACGACCGGAGCGGGAUAUCGUCCAAUGGGCCAAGGAAUGACGCAACUCCCUCCAACCACCACUUUGGGCUUCUCUCAAACCGCACCGUUGGGUAUGCAAAAUAUGCCGAUGGGCAUGCAGGGUAUGCAGGGUAUGAGGCCAAUGAUGGGUGUUAUGCCUGGUGAGAACGCCGGGACUACCGGAGCGGCCCCAAUGAUGAUGACCGGUGCGAACCCAAUGAUGGGUCCCGGUGGCCCUAUGCAACCUCAACAGCAACCUCAAUCCAUCGGUGGCCAAACGACCAAUAACGCCGUACAGCUUGAUCCCUUUGGUGCUCUGUGAAAGGAUCUCUAGGAAUAAAAUCGCAACGGCGAGAUAAAAAUGGGAGGAACCACUUUGUAAAUACUGUGUAAUAAGCCUAUUUGCAGAACAAGAGGAAAAGUGAAAAAUAGGCUCUGCUUUUGUCUCGUCGAUAUAUUUCCCUCCCCCGAUGAAAAAAAAUUUCCCCGUUGUUGGUUAUCGUUUGAAUGACCUGCCUUAAAGAUUCCCCACUUUCGUUGCCGCGCGGCUAGUUCUGUGUAUAAAACUUUUAAUAAGACGGCCCAUAGUGCUUAGGACAGAGAGCGAGCGAUUUUAAGGAUGCGAGAUACGUUAAUGGUACACACACAAAAACAACAAAAUUGAGAGAAACGAAAACGCUGAGAUAUAUUAUAGCUAAGCCACUCCAUAGAUUCAUAUAUAAAUAACGAAAAAAAGCAAAUAGUUGAAAUAGCCGAAAAGAAUUUUCUCGUUGUCAAAAGUUCAAGGAAAAGCCCAUUUAAGAUGUAAAACGCUUGCCAAAGAUCUCGAGAAUACGGCCCGAAACGUGCGUUGACGUCAACUCGUCAUCGCAAGAUCGUUCGAUAUUAAUGAUUUCAUCUCGUCGCAAGAUUAACCAUUAUUUUUGAAGUUACACACCGAAAAACUCACGAAAAGUCUCUAAUCUACGAUCUUGGGGGAUUUAAAAAAUUCGUCUUUUUCGAUCAACCAAUGGGCGAGAGAAGCGAAUAAUUCAAAAAAGGAGAUAAAUAAGCAGUUGUUGAGGGGAAAAAAAAGAAAUAUUCACUUUCACACACAUACAUACACUCCAUAUCACGCGUCUUAUUAUAAAACCGUGGCAUAUCCAUGUUGUACAUUAUUAUUUUUUAAUUUUGUCUCCUUCAUUUACAAUAUAUUAUUUUAUUUCCCUUCGUUAAGCUAGGUAUCGCUGAUAGUUAAUGGAACAAAAGAAAAACAAGUUACGGUGGGAUUAAGUAUUAACAAAUUAUAAAUAUAUAUAUAUAUAUAUAAAUAUUUGUAUAUCUAUACAAAUUUAUAUUCAUAUAUAUAUAUAUGUAUAAUCAAAAAACAAUAUCACCGAUACAAUUGUACGCAUAUAUGAGAAAAAAAACGAAAGAAAACGAUUGCAUAUGUGUAUAUAUACGUAAGAUAUAUAUGUACAAGAGAACGUCUACGAAUAAUGCAAUUAUUACGCGAUAAAUAUUAUAAUAAAUGUAGAGAGAGAGAGAGAGAGAGAGCGAAAGGAAGAAAAAGAGAGCACGAGAGAUUGAAAAAAACAUAAUUAAUCAAUAGAUAGUCCUAAUUUUAUCAAUGUUCUCUUAUUACAUACCGUUCCGAAAUAUAUAUAUGUAUAUAUAAAUGCUAUAUAUACAUAUAUAUAAAUAUAUAUAUAUAUAUAUAUAAAAUCCUAGGUAGUGCGUUAAUUAUUCAUGUUAUAGAAUGGAAAGGAAAGGAAAAAAUCAAGACUACGAUACUCACGUAAUUAUAAAGAAUAAUGUCUACGAUCGUCGUCGUGGUCGUUAUGGUUACCGCGAUGAAAUGGGAAGUAAGAUAAACGUUAAUCAUUGCUUCGUUGCUUUUCGAGCACGCAGAGUUACGUCGACUGAUUGCAACUAUCGGGAUAUUCAUAAAACUUUUGGAAGAGUGCAAACGAAGAAAUCUAAGCAAUUAUGUGUGUUUUCACGAGGGGUAGAAAAAUGAAAUUUUUUUGCUUUUAUCUUUGUUCUUGAAAUAUUGAAUUUUUUCAUCGAUUCAUAACAAGAAGAUUUUCAAUCUAUUUUGUUAACGUUGAUAAAUUUUAUGCAUGCGUGUUAUACAUAUUUGCGAUUGUGUAAUUUUCGAUGCUCUUUUUUUUCGAACAAAAUGUCAAAUUGUGGAACGAAAUGAAUUGAUUUUGUAAAUCGGUCUACUGCGAGCAAUGUUGUUGGAACGGAAGGUUCUGACUCUCUUCUCAUACAACUGACACGCCGAGAUUGAUUUUUUUUAACAAUUUUUGCUUCAGACGUCAGUGCUAAUGUGAAACAAAAUUACGAAUGAAUCGCCUCUACUGUUUCGCUCGAAUACAAAGUUCGAUACGAGCGAUAUUUUCUCUGUUCUUUUUUUUCCUUGCGAACAGAAAGAAUGAGUCAGAAGUUUGAAAAAGUGCUAUAUAUGUAUAUGUUGAAGCGUGCAGUGCUAGUCUAAAUAUUCGAUGUACAUUUCGUAGCGAAAAUGCAUGUGUUCGUGGAGGAGCGAUGAUAAAAUUGAUGUAAAAGUUUGACGAAAAUGAGAGAGUAAUUAGCCGCUUCAUUUCCUCACGCGCGUUUUUCCCUCCGUUUUCUUCUCUGUUCAUUUUUAUACAUUUCCAUUUUUUAUUCUCUUGAAUCGUCGUCACUGAUGUUCAUUUUGUACUCUCGUUGUUUGCGAAUGAAUUUUGAAAUCUUGCAUACUAUAUUUAGCAGAGGCAAAAGGGAAGAAAGAGGGACAGCAAAUGGCGACAUUAAUGUGUCCGAUCAAGCAGGGAAACGGGUUUAAUUAGAUCAAUUAUAAUCGCAUCGAUCAGCCGAACGAAUGUAAUCGAACGGGCGCGGAGUGAGGAAAAAAAAUAUUAAAAUAAUAACGAUAUUAAAAAUAAUAGGAGACAGCAAAAAUUGUAACUUGUAUAUUAAAAUCGGGCCGAUGUGUAAUGGCAUUUAGAAAAUUCGUAAGUUUACGAAUAAUUGUAUUAUAUCGAUAAAAGAACAAACAAAACAAUCCGGAGGAAUCAAAUAAACGAAAUACUGCUUUGGCUCGACGUGACCUUGGGCGACGAAAAUAAUUGUAUCAUUAGUAAAAUUAAUGAAAAAUACGAAAACGAAACGUUGAAUAAAUGUGGAAAACUCAAAAAAAACAAAAAAAAUCAAUAUCGUGCGAGGCACAUUCGUACAGGGAACAGACAAAAUGAAGAAUAAAACGAAACGAAAAAAAACUAACCAUGGCGAAUCCACCUGCGGUAGGUUCUAGUAUAGUUUUUAGGCGAAUGAAGUGAAAGAGAGAAUCUUUAGAUCAUUUUCGUAGAAUCUUAGUCCUCGGCAACGACGUUGGAGCUUUGAAAUGAAAAUUUUGAGAAAUAGGAGAAAAAAAUGUCAGAACGAAGGGUACACGAGGAUGGAUGAAGAAUAUGGAUUUUUACGGUUUAUCGCGCACAAUGAUUUACUGAGAGGAUGAAGAAGAGAGGAAAAAAAACAACAAAUAUAAACAAGGCACGUUAACUUAGACGAGGUCAAUUCGUCGUAACCCAGUUCUCGUAUGUUCUUUUCAAUGUCGAGCUCUCCCAAAGUCCACACUUUCCAUCUCUCCCCCACCCAAGCAUUUUUUUCCCUCUCCUUCGAAGUGGCCACGUUGAAUCAUUUUCAAAAGUCAUUAUUGUUGCGAAGUCUGUCGAAGUACGCGUUUCGAACGACCUUCGAUCAAUAAUUUAUGUCAAACUUUUUUUUUUAUUCGUUGCCAGUGUAAAUUCGUAUUUUGCACUAUCAUUCUUAGAAAUUAGAGCUCAUUGAUAAGGUUCUAUGUCAUUUUUCAAUGAAGUGACUGAAAAUCUAUGGCAGAACUUUGGAAAACUCUUUUGGUUGAUGUCACAUCACCGCGUACGAGAAAAGUCCAACUAGACCCUUUCGAAAUUACGCCUCAAUCUUGCGUUCAUAAAAACGUUGCGAUCCCAAAGGAUAAAAACGUUAUUUAGUCAAUUAGUGCGUUCGUUUCGGAGACGAGAAAUGAAUAAAUUAUGAGAAUAAUUGGUCCGGGGGGAAACGAUGAAAAUAAAUCUGUCUCAUAUACAUUUUUUGUGUUAAUCAAGAAUAUCGAAAAAUCUAGACACAGAAAUAACGAGAAUUGAUAUACUUCGAAAUAAAUGGAUGGAGCGUCGAAUGAUUUUGAAAUGGAAUUCAACGGAGUUUGCUUUGUUGGCCCUAAAGAAAAAAAAAAAAACGGUGCAAGAGGAUGCGAAUAUUAAUGAGAAAUCCAAACCUACUGGUCAUUAAGUGUAACAGGACAAUAUUACGUGUAUAACCCGCAAAAAAAUAUAAAUAUUAUAUCAGAGAACCUUAAUUAAAUCUAAUAAGAACGCUGUACUCCUUCUUAGGCUAGAGAAUACAUAAGUUAUUGAUUCUGAAGCGAGAGAGGCGAGAGAUAUGCGUUAAGAAAAGAUAUUUGGAAAAAUGCACGAUAUAAAGAAACGAAUAAAUAGUCUGAUGGCUAUAAUUUGUUCGACGACGAAUAUAUUACUAUUGUAUUGUACAGAUAUAUAUUAUAUAUACAAAUAUAUAUUAUAAUUCACCGCAUACUUUCGUUGAUCCGACGAACCGACGAUUUUCGUAGCGUUUCCGUGCUUGCCACCAGAAUGUUGUUUAUUAUCGUUAUAAAAACGUCACAAUCAUUUGAAAACGCCAGAGUACAUGAAAACCUUGAAAUUUUGAAAAGAAACAUUCGCUAUUGAAUAAAUUUAUUGAUCCGAUUGAAAAGUAAA
RNAcentral lists this unclassified non-coding RNA (8464 nucleotides) under Venturia canescens. Its description in RNAcentral is "phosphatidylinositol-binding clathrin assembly protein LAP, transcript variant X13". Lineage: Eukaryota; Metazoa; Arthropoda; Insecta; Hymenoptera; Ichneumonidae. The record is from RNAcentral.